This 254-nucleotide ribosomal RNA is filed under the name uncultured bacterium. Its description in RNAcentral is "partial 16S ribosomal RNA". It matches the Rfam family "Bacterial small subunit ribosomal RNA", at positions 524 to 776 of the family's 1533-position model. The record is from RNAcentral.
UACGGGGGGAGCAAGCGUUGUUCGGAUUUACUGGGCGUAAAGGGCGCGUAGGCGGCCAGCACAAGUCAGUUGUGAAAUCUCCGAGCUUAACUCGGAAAGGUCAACUGAUACUGUGCGGCUAGAGUGCGGAAGGGGCAACUGGAAUUCUUGGUGUAGCGGCGAAAUGCGUAGAUAUCAAGAGGAACACCUGCGGCGAAGGCGGGUUGCUGGGCCGACACUGACGCUGAGGCGCGAAAGCCAGGGGAGCGAACGGG